Molecule: long non-coding RNA, 2848 nt
Organism: Musa acuminata AAA Group (dessert banana)
Lineage: Eukaryota; Viridiplantae; Streptophyta; Magnoliopsida; Zingiberales; Musaceae
Exons: 5
Source: RefSeq, a predicted model, not a curated record
CGAACAGCAGGUUGAAGCUGACCUGAUGUCAUAGUGGGACAGGUAUUAUGCCUGUUUUUCCCAAGAGAGGUAAUUGAUGUGCUUUAGAUAGCUACUACAAAUUUCCCUUUUGCAGUCAGAUUAUAUUUUAGUCGGUUCUGGAAUUUAGCAUGUCGUUUUCAUAUUAUGUCUCAUGUUGGAAGCCUACAGAUUCUGGGUGUUUAUACUUUUAUCAUUUUAUACACCAUAACAGCAUCUGAUUUAGUAUCUCUGAUCACCCCAUUAGAAGCAUACAGAUUGUUAGUGAAUAUACUUUUAUCAGUUUAUGCACUUUAACAAACAUUUUUAUUUAGUAUCUGAAGCAGUUUCCUGAUGUUCAGCAACUUUUGACAAGAGCUGUGCCGGUGAUGUAAUUCCAGCCUAGGUCAAACAAACACUCAGGCUUUUGUUGCUUGAAUUGUCAUUUUUCCAGACGAUUUAAGAUUUUUUCUUCCGUUAUACCAAAAAUCUGCUAACAAAGUCUUUCUUUUUCUUUUUAAUGCAUAUGCUUCCAGUUUUUUGAAGAGGUAAAAGUUGUUAUACAGCACAUUCGUGGACAUAUAUUGGGAGAUUUUGAGUACAGCACCAUUAAAAAGUGUUGUACUUAUUCUUAUUAUGUUACUCUCCCCAAAAAUUUACUGCAUGAUCCUUUUCUAACUGCCAAAGGGACAACGUUGUUUUGUGAUUCGCCUGAAGGUAUGCUUCAAAUGUAUGACCUUUUUCUAGCAUGAGUGUUUUUUCUAGCAGGUCAUACCCUAAAGCAAAUGAUUUUUCCAAGGAACAUGGAUCAGAGUGCAUUUCCAAUUAUAAUUAAAGCUGAAUCUAUAGCGUCAUCAAGGACUGACACCGUAUCAAAAAUAUCAUAAUACAGGCAAACCUUAGUUUUUUAUAUAUUCCAUGAGCACUUUGUGCUAUAUUAAUUACAAGGGAAGAAGUAGUAAUGCUCUUAAAAGGAAAGUGCACUAACAUUUGCAGUAUCAGGUGGUGAAGGACAAAAUUAAAGGAGACAACAUGGAUCAGUAGCUGUUAUUUUUCUGAUUCUUCUGUGCUUUUGGAGGUUGAAGCAUGGAUGUGAUGUGAUAAAUACAAGGCUUCUAUUCUAGUUACUGCUGAAGGUGCAUCUUGCGGGAUUGAACUACCAGCUUAGAGUAGCAAUUCCGUCAAGAUGGUGAUGACCGCAACAUAUAGUUGUGCAGCUCCAGGCAAGCCACUAGCCACAUCAAUUGGCAACAUUAUGUAUAUAAUCCGAAAAAAUGGUUUCAUAUGCAACAAUGUACCUGCACUCAUAAAUCAGUACCAUCUGGACCAGAGCGAAAAAGGGAGAGAAGAGGGGAGGAGGAGGAAGAAAAAGAGAAGACAAGAGUAACAGGUUGUACCGGUAAGAGGAAACAGAGGAGGACAUGCGCCACAUAGAUAGUUUUGGAUUUCUAUACAAAUGUGAGACAGGUUGGAAAGUGAAGUUGGAAGCGAUGCAAGAAGUCAAGAAGAUGGACCAGGUACAUUAUUCUAUAUCUUCUCACUGAUAGUGUCAUCUCUCACAACCAUUGGAUAACCCCUUGUUUGUAAUCCAAUAUUCCAAGUUUCUUGUGGUAUUCUUUCUAGAAUCUGAUUGCUAUAUGAGGAGUGUCCUGAAAAUGUUAUUUUGGUGAUUUGGAGCUGUGUUGCUAUACUAAAGAAACUCAAUCUUUUGGAACUAGCAGACCUUAUGUUGUUGGGUGAAUGCCCUUUACAUUGUACCGAUUGAAUGGAGAAUAGGUUUAGUGGGGCCAUCAAAUUUGUGAUCACUCUGUUCUCUUUGUUGAAUACAUGCACUGGAUUCCACUUGAAGUGAUUGUUGGAUUUCCUAUUCUAGCUUUUGCAUGCACGAUGCUACAUCGAGUAGCCUAAUAAAAGUCAAAACAAGUUCAUGCAGCUCAUGUGAGCAGGGAAACCAGUAUACUUUUUGCAAGGAUAAGAUUUGUGUGUUGUGCAAGCGUUUUUGACUUGCCGAGUUUUGGUGUUCUUAUGCUGUGAAAGUUUCAUUGCUUCUGCAUCUCGAAUCAUAGCUUACCAAUUUUAUUAUCCUGCAUUUGUGAGGAUUAAAGAAUGAAUCCAAGUGGCAGGUUGAGUUAAAAACAAUUGGCGUGGCAACUCGAGACAUUCUUUAUGAUAUUGGACAUCAGCUCACGUGACGCUUGGAGGUAUUCCUGCCGCUGCAGCAGGAGAGAAGGCCGACCCCUCGUGCUCAUCCCAUCGCCGACGAAACCUAUGUGAGCAAUGGCAUAAUAAUUGCCAGUUAAAUACCAGCUUCUUAAUUUAUUUCUGCCUUGUUUGGUUGACGCUUGGAAGAGACGGUAGGCCCAUGUCAUUUGAUGAUUCGAGUUGAGUUGAUAUCUUGCAAGAUUGCUCGAAGAAAGGGAAGUUUUUGCUGGAGUGGAGCUUCCCAUCAUUGGUGAGAGAGAGAGGUACAGAGGCAAGAAAUGACUUUUGAGAAGAGAGGUUGACAGUGACAUGGUACCGAGACAAUAUGUAUGUGCGUGUUGCUGAUGGCUCCGACUGCAAAGGGCUUUCCUUUCCUUUCCUCUCCUCUCUCAUGAGAAGAAGAUAAUAACAUCCUGCCUUCGCCGCUGAUGCUCAUCAUGGGGUGGCUUCGGUCCCUCUUCUCCCCGCUCAAGAAGCUGUGGAUCCGCUUGCAUUCUGCACGCAGGAAGAGGAGGGGGAUAUACAUUCUGUACGAGGACGUAAAGUCGUGCCCGUACGAAGACGUGCAGAUCCUGUGGUCGAUCGUGGCGGAGUCGCGCCCGCCCGCCUCCGCCGCUGCCGCCUCCGCCGCCGCUUUCGGCCUCGGAGA